This is a long non-coding RNA of Panthera uncia (snow leopard), 1942 nucleotides long. RefSeq lists it as uncharacterized. The record is from RefSeq and is a predicted model, not a curated record. NCBI's taxonomy places the organism in Eukaryota, Metazoa, Chordata, Mammalia, Carnivora, Felidae. The transcript is spliced from 2 exons.
ACCUAAAGAAGAAAAUAAAAGAUCACAACUCCAAGGUCUGCUUUGGAUUUUCAAAUUCAGCCCGCACAACAGGUCACGCGUGUGUGGAAGAAGAAUGGCGUUGUCCCGUGCGGGCUCAUAAAGCAGGGAAAGACCAGUGAACCCGGGUCACGUGGAGGCAGCGUCAGCGCAGCUCUCUGAAAAUGGAACGUGCGAACGGACACAGGAGAAGGAAGUUCAAUCCCAGGAAGAAACAGUGGUUCCAUUUUGUUAACUGGCCAAAUUAACUGAAGAUGGCAGACCUUUUCCGAUUCUAGGAUUUCACAGUUACACAGCGCCCUUCCUUCCUGGACGGCGUGAGCACAGGAGGAGCCCCGCGAGCCCGCAGCGUGGCCUCCUGCGGACAGAGACAGGCCUCUACUGGGCUGUGUCCGCGCGCAGGAGCCGGUCCAUCUCGUUGCCCUGUGGAAAAUGGCACUCUGAUCCCAGACCAUGAUGCCAUUUGGACUGAGGUGACGAUUUCACCUGCGGGCCUGGAAGCAGGGUUUUCUUCAGAUGUGCAGAUCCUUCAGGAUCGUCUUCUUUAUGGUCUCUCAUGUUAUUUUCAGGAACAAAGGCCUAAAGAUCGGCUGAACUGGGUCCACUUCAAUACCACCGAAAGGGCGCACAGAUUAUGCGAAUGAUACAAAGGAUACUCUGUUGUGGUUUCCCUGAGGCACUACUAAAACGCAGGGAGACUGGAUUUCAGAGACAACACUACAGACCCAUCCACCGCAGAGCUAAUGUCCUCGCCCAGAAGGCAGGCGCGCUGCCUCGGCCCCUUCUGACCUUCACACGGUUCUGUUUAUCCUGUGUAAAUGCAACAUACGAAUAACGUUCCCGACGGUGACCAAGGGUAGGAAAAAUGUACAAAGGAGACAAAAAUAGUUACAUUACGUGAUCUCUAAAGUCAUUCCCAACUCCAAUCAUCUAAGAAAAGUCAGAUUAAAAUCUUCACGUCCACCCCUCCCUCCUCAGGCGUGACCGCGGGCAAGUUCCCUUCUGGGAAGAACACCUUCCAAGGACUGGCUGAGCCCAGAGCCAUCGCUCACCUGACCGGGGUCACUGUAGUCACACGCUUUAAGCACCACCAGGCCUCCUUUCUGACUCGGGCGGCCCUGGGCCACCAGACACUUGUUGGUCUGGAGGUGAUAGAGCUGUAAAAGGAGAGAUCACUCUUGUCAGAAGAUGCCUUAGAUGCUAGAUAAGGAAGUUUUAGAUGAAAUGUGAAUGGAUUACUCCAAAGGUAUGAAUUUCAAAGGUCCUAAUAAGCAUUUUUUUAUUCCUUAAUUCUAGCUUCAGUACAUAAGGGUGUCACGGUAGACUUUAAGGUUAAAGGCAGUUUUAACAGUAUAUGCAGGCAAUGCCAAGUAGAAAUUCUAAAAAUAUAGGUUUACUAAUCUAUUCUAGGGGAGGAAGGAAAUUAAAACCUCUCUGCCCUCAAGAACCUUCAAAUGAAAUCAAGGAAAUAAGACUAAAGGUACCGACCAGACAGCACGUAACUGAAUGAAAUAUACAGGCUAAACUGGAGGGAGACACACAUCGGGAACAGCACAGGGGAGACCCAGAAAAGCAGCAAAGAGUAUGCAGUUUGGGUAAAGGGCUACAACUACAUCGGCAUACGCUGUGUUUUUACUUUAAAAACAAAAGGUGGUUUUGUUUUCAUAAAGAGGACAAGGGGAAAGCUCUAGGCUUACUUUAGCCACUGAGGAACAGUCGGCAUCACGAAAGAUCCUGACAAGUACCUUCUUCUGAACACAGAAGAGAAAACUGUGCAACAGUCAGAGUAGCUACACUUUCAGAAAGCAAAUUCUAAGAAAUGAUUCAGGAAAAAGGUAUGACUUUACAGCUAGACCCCUAAACUUUAAAAGUGAUGUAAAACUGUGAAGAAAUUCCUUAAGAAAUAAAAGAGAACGGGGGCGCC